Molecule: ribosomal RNA, 621 nt
Filed under: uncultured Actinomycetes bacterium
Lineage: Bacteria; Bacillati; Actinomycetota; Actinomycetes
Description: bacterial SSU rRNA
Rfam family: Bacterial small subunit ribosomal RNA
Source: RNAcentral
GUGGGGUAACGGCCUACCAAGGCGAUGACGGGUAGCAGGCCUGAGAGGGUGGUCUGUCACACUGGGACUGAGACACUGCCCAGACUCCUACGGGAGGCUGCAGUCGAGAAUCUUCCGCAAUGGGCGAAAGCCUGACGGAGCGACGCCGCGUGGAGGACGAAGGCCCUCGGGUUGUAAACUCCUGUCACGGGUGAUGAAUGUGCAUGUGCUAAUAGCACGUGCAUUGACGUAAGCCCGAGAGGAAGCACCGGCUAACUCCGUGCCAGCAGCCGCGGCAAUACGGAGGGUGCGAACGUUGUUCGGAAUUACUGGGCAUAAAGAGCUCGUAGGCGGCUGUGCAAGUGUGGAGUGAAAUCCCACGGCUUACCCGUGGAACUGCUUUGCAGACUGCACGGCUAGAGGAUGGUAGGGGAGAGCGGAACUCCUGGUGGAGCGGUGAAAUGCGUAGAUAUCAGGAGGAACACCGGUGGCGAAGGCGGCUCUCUGGAACAUCUCUGACGCUGAGGAGCGAAAGCCAGGGUAGCGAACGGGAUUAGAUACCCCGGUAGUCCUGGCCGUAAACGAUGGGCACUAGCUAGGGGUCUCCCUGUGGGAUCCCUGGUGAAGCAAAUGUGAUAAGUG